AGGCAGUGUACAGUUAGCUGGCUGCUUGGUGUUUGGACAGCAGCCGCUACGUAUUCCGCCAC
Molecule: microRNA precursor, 62 nt
Filed under: Callorhinchus milii (elephant shark)
Lineage: Eukaryota; Metazoa; Chordata; Chondrichthyes; Chimaeriformes; Callorhinchidae
Description: Cmi-Mir-34-P3b_pre stem-loop
Source: RNAcentral